This 559-nucleotide long non-coding RNA is filed under the name Mytilus galloprovincialis (Mediterranean mussel). The record is from RNAcentral. Lineage: Eukaryota; Metazoa; Mollusca; Bivalvia; Mytilida; Mytilidae.
CGUGACAUACAUUACUAAAAAUGGCAGUAUUGUAAGUCUUACUAAGUUCUUUGUCGUCUGAAUACUACAUGUGACGUACUAGUUCAAAAUGGCGAUAUUGCAAGUCUUACUCAGUUCUUUGUCGUCUGAAUACUACAUCUGACGUACUAAUUCAAAAUGGCCAUAUUGUAAGUCUUUUUGAUAUGGGACGAGCUCUGUCGUCCAAUGGCCCCAGAUUGUCUCAUGGGCAAACCAGUCGAGCAGAGUAAGCUCGACCUUAUUGAAAAUAAAAUGAAAAAUAUUAAAAACUAAAAAAUAAAUUAAAAAGGGAAACAAGGAUGUUCAUUCUCGAAGUCCUUGUGAUUAAAUUCACAAAAUUACAGCAACCGUCGACGCAAAAUAGAACCAAACACCAUCCGAGGUUUAUCGUUUUAUCCAUAUAAACCAAAUAUUAAAAUUUGAUUGAUUUUAGAAUUAAUUCAAAUUAAAUUCACCGUGGUAAUAUUAUAUUUAUACAAGUCGUUAUAGUGUCUGAUCGUCUUCAUAUUCCAGACUUGUUAUGACCGCUUUUGUAUCAAAC